AAAAUUGGCUAAGUGGGAAACGAAGUGGGAAGGCUAAAACAGUCAGGAUGUUGGCUUAGAAGCAGCCAUCAUUUAAAGAAAGCGUAAUAGCUCACUGAUCGAGUCGUCCUGCGCGGAAGAUGUAACGGGGCUAAGCCAGUUACCGAAGCUGCGGAUGCACAGUUUACUGUGCGUGGUAGGAGAGCGUUCUGUAAGCCUGUGAAGGUGUCUGGUAACGGAUGCUGGAGGUAUCAGAAGUGCGAAUGCUGACAUGAGUAGCGUUAAAGGGGGUGAAAAGCCCCCUCGCCGUAAGCGCAAGGUUUUCUACGCAACGUUCAUCGGCGUAGAGUGAGUCGGCCCCUAAGGCGAGGCAGAGAUGCGUAGUUGAUGGGAAACAGGUCAAUAUUCCUGUACCGAUGUGUAGUGCGAUU
RNAcentral lists this ribosomal RNA (410 nucleotides) under Xanthobacter autotrophicus. Its description in RNAcentral is "partial 23S ribosomal RNA". It matches the Rfam family "Bacterial large subunit ribosomal RNA", at positions 1051 to 1461 of the family's 2925-position model. The record is from RNAcentral. Lineage: Bacteria; Pseudomonadati; Pseudomonadota; Alphaproteobacteria; Hyphomicrobiales; Xanthobacteraceae.